AAUAUGGAACCUCACGUUCUGUUGGAUCCAUUUAAUGCGUGCAGGGAUAAUUUAUUUUAUUUUACAAAUAAAGGAGUAGUAAAUUAGAGAAAACAGCAUUAAAUGUCUAAUUACUUCUCAUAUUGGAUCUCACUCACCGACGUACGUCCAUGCAUUAUAUUCUCACACGUUUACACACCCAUCUAAUUAGCAGUUUAUUCGGAUUUACUAUUCAUGUUUUUUCUUUGUAAAAAAACGAGAAAACUUUU
Molecule: long non-coding RNA, 248 nt
Filed under: Brassica napus (rape)
Lineage: Eukaryota; Viridiplantae; Streptophyta; Magnoliopsida; Brassicales; Brassicaceae
Description: long non-coding RNA (BNAP_LNC023661)
Source: RNAcentral